Long non-coding RNA from Triticum aestivum (bread wheat), 701 nucleotides. RefSeq lists it as uncharacterized. NCBI's taxonomy places the organism in Eukaryota, Viridiplantae, Streptophyta, Magnoliopsida, Poales, Poaceae. The record is from RefSeq and is a predicted model, not a curated record. The transcript is spliced from 3 exons.
CCCAGGCGCAUGGACGUGCUCGUCUCCUUCCUCUGCACGUUCAAUCUGGAGCAGUGGAGCAGGAACAUAACAGAAACGGCCAUGGCUCCCCACCUCUUCCUCUCCUCCUCCCACUCAAUUCAUUCCCCAUUACGACUUGCCACCAAUACAAAAAUUAUUGAGGAAUGUCAAGAGAACUCAUUCAGGGAAUUAAAACUCAAUUUCGUUGCUUUAAUUGGACGCACGGAGCCGUGAAACGUACACGCACAAACUGCCAUUAUUGGCCACGAUGAGCUCUCUUGAUCUCCAUCUCCCGGCCUCCCCUUCCUCUAUAAAAGGAACCCUGAGUAGCGCCUCGAAGCCUCCCACCUCCUCUCCAGAAACCCCUCUCCAUCUCCCUCCCCAUGGUUGUCAAUUUGUAGCCGGAGUCCGAACUCUGCCGCAGCUUCCGACGAAGUUUCAGUCACGUGUGCCGGAGCUCACGAACGGCGACGAGUACAUCCAACCGGAAACUCCGGCGAACUCCAGCGGGUUCACACGGCUUCCCGAGGACGAAUUGGUCGUCAACGACGACAUCACCUUCAUCACCGCGUGGUGUACUUCACCGUCCGCCUCUCCUACUCGCCGGAGCACGCCCCGACCGGACCUCCUUCCCCCGAUAUAUUGUAACGAGAAGGAGAGACGACUCAAUAUAAUAUUUCAUCUUCAUCAACAGUACAAGG